AAGAAACACAACGCAAUAUUUAAUGGACCUGGUGUAUGCUGACCGAUUAGACGUUUCAAUGGAGGCAUGUGACGUAAGCCACGAUUUCUCAAUGCAGAGUGAUGUCCCAUUUGAUGAGAGCGUUUUCUCAGUGUCGGACUAUGAUUACGACAGAUCUUUGGACUUCCAACAGAGAGACUUCGAGAACGUGUUCUUCAGGAAUGAAAUCUGACGUGUUUCCGAAACCUGACUCGGAUUUCGUCGGAACGAGACGACCGGGCAGCUGUGAAGCCAUAGACAGUAACAUCAUUGCGCAGACUCCAACUCAGGGAGGCGGAACGCUCUGCGUCACAGCUGCGCGAUGACGUGUACACCACGCCCCCAGUACGGCCACCAUCACGUGGCCAGCAGGUAAACCCGCUCCACCCUUUGUGUACGCGGUGUAAGAGCGUUGCAGUAACGUGCUGUCGCAUUGUAAUUGCUGAGAAGUGUGCAUGCAUUGUUCUGCCAACGGAUGCAUGUGUGUUUUCAGAGACUUUUACAGGUUGCUAAUCCUCCUCGGUGGAUCUCAGCUGUCUGUGCAACCCACCCAGAGCCUUGGGACAAAGCCGCAUGGCUGCCUGCUCAUCACUGCUGGGUAACUGUACAUGCUGUGGUAAAUGCUUGAAUGUAAAUCUACACAAGUGCACUCAGAGCUACAACACAUGUGUGAUAUACUUUGAGAACUUUUGUAAAUAUUGAUUGUAUUAACCAUUAAAAUGUGUUAAUUCUUAAAACUUA
Molecule: long non-coding RNA, 759 nt
Organism: Sinocyclocheilus rhinocerous
Lineage: Eukaryota; Metazoa; Chordata; Actinopteri; Cypriniformes; Cyprinidae
Exons: 2
Source: RefSeq, a predicted model, not a curated record